GGGCAGGUGAGGUUCGUUAGCCGUGGUAGGCAAUUCACCUAGGAGAGCAAACUCCGAACAAUAAACCCGGGCAGGUGGAGUUCGUUAGCGAAAGCAGUUCAUCUAGGAGAGCAAACUCCGAUUACAAAACCGGGCAGGUGGAGGUCGUUAGCGUGAGCAGUUCACCUAGGAGAGCAAACUCCGAUUUCAAACCCGGGCAGGUGGAGGUCGUUAGCGAAAGCAGUUCACUUAGGAGAGCAAACUCCGAUUACAAACCCGGGCAGGUGAGGCUCGUUAGCCGUGGUAGGCAAUUCACCUAGGAGAGCAAACUCCGAACAAUAAACCCGGGCAGGUUGGGCUCGUGAGCCGUCAUAGGUAAUACACCUAGGAGAGCAAACUCCGAACAUAAAACCCGGGCAGGCUGGGCUCGUGAGCCGUCAUAGGUAAUACACCUAGGAGAGCAAACUCCGAACAAUAAACCCGGGCAGGUUGGGCUCGUGAGCCGUCAUAGGUAAUACACCUAGGAGAGCAAACUCCGAUCAUAAAACCCGGGCAGGUUGGGCUCGUGAGCCGUCAUAGGUAAUACACCUAGGAGAGCAAACUCCGAACAUAAAACCCGGGCAGGUUGGGCUCGUGAGCCGUCAUAGGCAGUCUGCCUAGGAGAGCAAACUCCGAACAAUAAACCCGGGCAGGUGGAGCUCGUCAGCCGUGGUAGGCAGUCUGCCUAGGAGAGCAAACUCCGAACAAUAAACCCGGGCAGGUGGAGCUCGUCAGCCGUGGUAGGCAGUCUGCCUAGGAGAGCAAACUCCGAACAAUAAACCCGGGCUUGUGGUGCUCGUUAGAUGUCGUAGACAAUCCACGUGAUGGGAACACCAAAGAAAAGGAAAAUAAAAAGGAACACCAGAAAAAGGAAAAUAUAGUAAUAAAACAUCAAGAAAAUAAAAUUAAAAAAAACACAGAUCAUCCACCUUCAGGCCCUAACAUCUCCAAAAUUAUGGAUGAGUCUUUUCUGGGGAGAAAGAGGCUCAUCCAGACCAAAGAACAUCAACAAG
Eriocheir sinensis (Chinese mitten crab) is the source of this 1031-nucleotide long non-coding RNA. RefSeq lists it as uncharacterized. The transcript is spliced from 3 exons. Lineage: Eukaryota; Metazoa; Arthropoda; Malacostraca; Decapoda; Varunidae. The record is from RefSeq and is a predicted model, not a curated record.